This 328-nucleotide ribosomal RNA is filed under the name uncultured Methanosaeta sp. RNAcentral describes it as "bacterial SSU rRNA". It matches the Rfam family "Archaeal small subunit ribosomal RNA", at positions 1009 to 1338 of the family's 1478-position model. Lineage: Archaea; Methanobacteriati; Methanobacteriota; Methanomicrobia; Methanotrichales; Methanotrichaceae. The record is from RNAcentral.
UCGUACUGUGAAGCAUCCUGUUAAGUCAGGCAACGAGCGAGACCCACGCCCACAGUUGCCAGCGUACUCUCUGGAGUGACGGGUACACUGUGGGACCGCCGCUGCUAAAGCGGAGGAAGGAAUGGGCAACGGUAGGUCAGUAUGCCCCGAAUAUCCCGGGCUACACGCGAGCUACAAUGGUUGGUACAAUGGGUAUCUACCCGAAAGGGGACGGGAAUCUCCUAAAACCAAUCUUAGUUCGGAUUGAGGGCUGCAACUCGCCCUCAUGAAGCUGGAAUCCGUAGUAAUCGCGUUUCAACAGAACGCGGUGAAUACGUCCCUGCUCCUU